Molecule: ribosomal RNA, 253 nt
Filed under: uncultured bacterium
Lineage: Bacteria
Description: partial 16S ribosomal RNA
Rfam family: Bacterial small subunit ribosomal RNA
Source: RNAcentral
UACGAAGGGUGCAAGCGUUACUCGGAAUUACUGGGCGUAAAGCGUGAGUAGGUGGUUUCUUAAGUCUGCUGUGAAAGCCCCGGGCUCAACCUGGGAAUUGCAGUGGAUACUGGGAAGCUAGAGUGCGGUAGAGGGUAGUGGAAUUCCCGGUGUAGCGGUGAAAUGCGUAGAUAUCAGGAGGAACACCGAUGGCGAAGGCAGGUCUCUGGGCUGACACUGACGCUCAUGCACGAAAGCGUGGGGAGCAAACAGG